Long non-coding RNA from Pipistrellus kuhlii (Kuhl's pipistrelle), 1224 nucleotides. RefSeq lists it as uncharacterized. NCBI's taxonomy places the organism in Eukaryota, Metazoa, Chordata, Mammalia, Chiroptera, Vespertilionidae. The transcript is spliced from 3 exons. The record is from RefSeq and is a predicted model, not a curated record.
AGUUGGCGCUCAUGGCUCCACAGGCUUCUACACGCGGAGCUGCCGGUUGGAGCGUCUGCCCAGUCACCACAGAGAAGAUUUAACAAGUAAAAACCUGCAAACUCUUUAUUAAAUUCUCCCAUUUCAUCUGUACAGGAAAAAAAAAAAUGCACAUUAUGUUCAGAAUCUCAGUAACAUCUCAAAAUUACACAGCAAGAACAUGUAAAAACAAGGAACUGCGGGGAUUUUAUACAUAGAAAGGAAAGCCAUUUACAAAAGAGGCUUGUUCAUUUUCCUUUCCUUUCUUUCUUUCUUUCUUAAAAAAAAGUUAAAGGCCUACGAUCUCAUCCAGCAUGUGCUGCAGUCUGUUUUCCUGCUCGGGCUGACCUGGGAGCGCUGUUGGGAGGAGCCACUCCGUCCAGGGCACUGCAGUCUGGCCUCAGCCCCCAGCUUGUCUGCCAUAGGGCCUGCGGGGCCCUGGGUCCAGGUGUCAAUUCUACGUUGGGGGGAAGGCAGAAACAGAAUACACAGGCACUAUCUGAAUGUUCUCCUUGCCCAGGCAGAGUUCUCUACUGCACAUACCCCAACAUCCCUACCUGUGCGACGCGAUGGAAAGGAGGGGAGAAACCACCGUCAGGAUCCUGCCACCACCAGCCCCAGCAGACCUCCCACCUUUGUGCUCCAGAUACAAACAGUCCCUCACUAGAUGGCUUGGGGCAGUGGUCAACAGAGCCAAAUAUCAACAGUAUAACGAUUGAAAUUUCUUUUGAGAGCCAAAUUUUUUAAACUUAAAACUUCUUCUAACACCACUUCUUCAAAAUAGACUCGCCCAGGCCGUGGUAUUUUGUGGAAGAGCCACACCCAAGGGGCCAAAGAGCCGCAUGUGGCUCUUUAGCUGGUUUGCUGACCACUGGCUUGGGGGAACCGGUCACCAAAGAGUCAUGACUUAUCUGCUGACUUGGUUGCCCUGAUAUGUCAUUCCUGGCUGCUUAGUGGAGAGGACAAGAGCAGUGCAGUUAGCGGAGCAGCCAACCAGACAGACAAACGUCUGCUCUGGCCAGAGCCCCAGACCGGGCGGGGGGAGGGGUGUCCUGGAAGGCGAGGGCAUCGGAGUGUGCGUUCUACAGAACUGCUCUGGGGCUGCACACAGGGUGAGAGAUAUAAAAGGGAUCCUUGAGGUUUUCCCAAUUUACAAGAACCUGAAAUACAAAUGAACAUCCCUCUAAAAAAAACACCUUUCUAAAG